This 369-nucleotide transfer-messenger RNA is filed under the name Flexivirga aerilata. RNAcentral describes it as "Standard tmRNA". It matches the Rfam family "transfer-messenger RNA". From Rfam's summary of the family: Bacterial tmRNA, also known as 10Sa RNA or SsrA, is named for its dual tRNA and mRNA-like properties. Its role is to liberate the mRNA from a stalled ribosome. To accomplish this part of the tmRNA is used as a reading frame that ends in a translation stop signal. The record is from Rfam by way of RNAcentral. Lineage: Bacteria; Bacillati; Actinomycetota; Actinomycetes; Micrococcales; Dermacoccaceae.
GGGGGUGAUCGGUUUCGACGUUGAUUGCCGUUGUAGGGGAAGCGGGUCGAGGAAGCACGGUUAUCUCGUUAACGCUCCGUGCACAACCAAUAGGUGCCAACUCCAAGCGCACCGACUUCGCCCUCGCCGCCUGAGCGAGCCUCGAAGUCCGUCAGCCUGAGCUAGUUCUCGACUCAGUGUCUGGCGUCAGCUAGAGAACUUGCUGCGUCGUCACGCCGAGGGGCGACGCGGGACUCUUACUCGGCUGGGCCUGUCAGGGAACGUGUGCGUGCGAGCCCUGGGGCCGAGAAAAUCCUCAAGCGCACUGCACCCGGAGAAGCCCUACUUCGUGGUCAGCGGACGCGGGUUCGAUUCCCGCCACCUCCACGA